Molecule: ribosomal RNA, 372 nt
Filed under: uncultured organism
Description: bacterial SSU rRNA
Rfam family: Bacterial small subunit ribosomal RNA
Source: RNAcentral
CGUAAGUGGCAAGCGUUGUCCGGAUUUACUGGGCGUAAAGGGUGCGUAGGUGGAUAUUUAAGUCAGAUGUGAAACCCCCAGGCUCAACCUGGGAACUGCAUUUGAAACUGGAUGUCUGGAGUGCAGGAGAGGUAAGUGGAAUUCCUAGUGUAGCGGUGAAAUGCGUAGAGAUUAGGAAGAACACCAGUGGCGAAGGCGACUUACUGGACUGUAACUGACACUGAGGCACGAAAGCGUGGGUAGCAAACAGGAUUAGAUACCCUGGUAGUCCACGCCGUAAACGAUGAGUACUAGGUGUAGGAGGUAUCGACUCCUUCUGUGCCGCAGUUAACACAAUAAGUACUCCGCCUGGGAAGUACGAUCGCAAGAUUA